UGAGUAACCUGCCCUUCACUCUGGGAUAACUCCGGGAAACCGGGGCUAAUACUGGAUAUGACUCGAACAGGCAUCUGUUUCGGGUGGAAAGAUUUAUUGGUGGAGGAUGGACUCGCGGCCUAUCAGCUUGUUGGUGAGGUAAUGGCUCACCAAGGCGACGACGGGUAGCCGGCUGAGAGGGCGAUCGGCCACACUGGGACUGAGACACGGCCCAGACUCCGUACGGGAGCA
Molecule: ribosomal RNA, 231 nt
Filed under: uncultured bacterium
Lineage: Bacteria
Description: partial 16S ribosomal RNA
Rfam family: Bacterial small subunit ribosomal RNA
Source: RNAcentral